GAAUCACAGUUCACCUUAGCUGAACUUGUGUGAUCUUCUAGUUCACGGUAGUUAGUGUGAGGCUGUCGGUCCGCUCCGGUGUGGCUGUCGCGAGGAUGAACAGCUCCUCUUGAUCAUUACCAAAAAAAAAAAAAACUACCUUUAAAAGACGUAGUGUGUCGUCAUGUUUUUGUGUAGAUCAGAAGGUUGUGAUAGUUUGCUGGCGGACAGACCGCAUUAACGGUCGUGUGUUAACCGCGUUCAAGAAUUUCAGCCUGGACUUGAAAAAUAAUAACGGUCGUCGUGGUUUUACCCAACGACUCCCGUCAAGUUUCCUUUGUUUGUUUUGCCGUUGCUCGUUUCUAACGACAACUAAAGGAGCACGAAUGAUCCAGAUGAAGCUACGAAGCGGAGGAAACGCGGACGUAAAUAAUUGGUGCUUGAAAUGGCGAAAAUCUAUAUCGGACUCAACCCAGAGAUGGAAUGUACGUCCACCUUUUAUCUGGUACGAUUUUGUCUUUAAGUAUACAUAUAAAUAUACAGAGUGAGUGUAAAUAAACUCAGUGUA
This 547-nucleotide long non-coding RNA is filed under the name Sinocyclocheilus grahami. RNAcentral describes it as "lncRNA (ENSSGRG00000026580.1)". Lineage: Eukaryota; Metazoa; Chordata; Actinopteri; Cypriniformes; Cyprinidae. The record is from RNAcentral.